GACGAACGCUGGCGGCGUGCUUAACACAUGCAAGUCGAACGGAAAGGCCCCUUUGGGGGUACUCGAGUGGCGAACGGGUGAGUAACACGUGAGUAACCUGCCCUUGACUUCGGGAUAACUUCAGGAAACUGGGGCUAAUACCGGAUAGGAAUCCUUGCUGCAUGGUGGGGGUUGGAAAGCUUCGGCGGUUUUGGAUGGACUCGCGGCUUAUCAGCUUGUUGGUGGGGUAGUGGCUUACCAAGGCUUUGACGGGUAGCCGGCCUGAGAGGGCGACCGGCCAACUUUGGAACUGGAUUACGCCCCGACCCCCAAGGGGGGGCGGAGGGGGGAAUAUUGCACAAUGGGCGGAAGCCUGAUGCAGCAACGCCGCGUGCGGGAUGACGGCCUUCGGGUUGUAAACCGCUUUCAGCAGGGGCGAAGCUUGUGGUGACGGUACCUGCAGAAGAAGCACCGGCUAACUACGUG
This 465-nucleotide ribosomal RNA is filed under the name uncultured bacterium. RNAcentral's name for it is "partial 16S ribosomal RNA". It matches the Rfam family "Bacterial small subunit ribosomal RNA", at positions 28 to 507 of the family's 1533-position model. The record is from RNAcentral.